RNAcentral lists this ribosomal RNA (1510 nucleotides) under Escherichia coli. RNAcentral describes it as "partial 23S ribosomal RNA". It matches the Rfam family "Bacterial large subunit ribosomal RNA", at positions 372 to 1869 of the family's 2925-position model. The record is from RNAcentral. Lineage: Bacteria; Pseudomonadati; Pseudomonadota; Gammaproteobacteria; Enterobacterales; Enterobacteriaceae.
CCCGUACACAAAAAUGCACAUGCUGUGAGCUCGAUGAGUAGGGCGGGACACGUGGUAUCCUGUCUGAAUAUGGGGGGACCAUCCUCCAAGGCUAAAUACUCCUGACUGACCGAUAGUGAACCAGUACCGUGAGGGAAAGGCGAAAAGAACCCCGGCGAGGGGAGUGAAAAAGAACCUGAAACCGUGUACGUACAAGCAGUGGGAGCACAGAGCAAUCUGUGUGACUGCGUACCUUUUGUAUAAUGGGUCAGCGACUUAUAUUCUGUAGCAAGGUUAACCGAAUAGGGGAGCCGAAGGGAAACCGAGUCUUAACUGGGCGUUAAGUUGCAGGGUAUAGACCCGAAACCCGGUGAUCUAGCCAUGGGCAGGUUGAAGGUUGGGUAACACUAACUGGAGGACCGAACCGACUAAUGUUGAAAAAUUAGCGGAUGACUUGUGGCUGGGGGUGAAAGGCCAAUCAAACCGGGAGAUAGCUGGUUCUCCCCGAAAGCUAUUUAGGUAGCGCCUCGUGAAUUCAUCUCCGGGGGUAGAGCACUGUUUCGGCAAGGGGGUCAUCCCGACUUACCAACCCGAUGCAAACUGCGAAUACCGGAGAAUGUUAUCACGGGAGACACACGGCGGGUGCUAACGUCCGUCGUGAAGAGGGAAACAACCCAGACCGCCAGCUAAGGUCCCAAAGUCAUGGUUAAGUGGGAAACGAUGUGGGAAGGCCCAGACAGCCAGGAUGUUGGCUUAGAAGCAGCCAUCAUUUAAAGAAAGCGUAAUAGCUCACUGGUCGAGUCGGCCUGCGCGGAAGAUGUAACGGGGCUAAACCAUGCACCGAAGCUGCGGCAGCGACACUAUGUGUUGUUGGGUAGGGGAGCGUUCUGUAAGCCUGUGAAGGUGUGCUGUGAGGCAUGCUGGAGGUAUCAGAAGUGCGAAUGCUGACAUAAGUAACGAUAAAGCGGGUGAAAAGCCCGCUCGCCGGAAGACCAAGGGUUCCUGUCCAACGUUAAUCGGGGCAGGGUGAGUCGACCCCUAAGGCGAGGCCGAAAGGCGUAGUCGAUGGGAAACAGGUUAAUAUUCCUGUACUUGGUGUUACUGCGAAGGGGGGACGGAGAAGGCUAUGUUGGCCGGGCGACGGUUGUCCCGGUUUAAGCGUGUAGGCUGGUUUUCCAGGCAAAUCCGGAAAAUCAAGGCUGAGGCGUGAUGACGAGGCACUACGGUGCUGAAGCAACAAAUGCCCUGCUUCCAGGAAAAGCCUCUAAGCAUCAGGUAACAUCAAAUCGUACCCCAAACCGACACAGGUGGUCAGGUAGAGAAUACCAAGGCGCUUGAGAGAACUCGGGUGAAGGAACUAGGCAAAAUGGUGCCGUAACUUCGGGAGAAGGCACGCUGAUAUGUAGGUGAAGUCCCUCGCGGAUGGAGCUGAAAUCAGUCGAAGAUACCAGCUGGCUGCAACUGUUUAUUAAAAACACAGCACUGUGCAAACACGAAAGUGGACGUAUACGGUGUGACGCCUGCCCGGUGC